Molecule: ribosomal RNA, 256 nt
Filed under: Streptomyces sp. ISOM089_OTU243
Lineage: Bacteria; Bacillati; Actinomycetota; Actinomycetes; Kitasatosporales; Streptomycetaceae
Also listed under: 1 other name
Description: partial 16S ribosomal RNA
Rfam family: Bacterial small subunit ribosomal RNA
Source: RNAcentral
ACGAACGCUGGCGGCGUGCUUAACACAUGCAAGUCGAACGAUGAAGCCCUUCGGGGUGGAUUAGUGGCGAACGGGUGAGUAACACGUGGGCAAUCUGCCCUUCACUCUGGGACAAGCCCUGGAAACGGGGUCUAAUACCGGAUAACACUCCUCCCUGCAUGGGGAGGGGUUGAAAGCUCCGGCGGUGAAGGAUGAGCCCGCGGCCUAUCAGCUUGUUGGUGGGGUGAUGGCCUACCAAGGCGACGACGGGUAGCCG